RNAcentral lists this unclassified non-coding RNA (232 nucleotides) under Hevea brasiliensis (rubber tree). Lineage: Eukaryota; Viridiplantae; Streptophyta; Magnoliopsida; Malpighiales; Euphorbiaceae. The record is from RNAcentral.
AUAGAACAGGUUACUGACCAGGAGUGGUCUUAAAUUAAAUGAUUUGUGAGGCAGCGAGUCGGUCAAGUUUCUGUGGUCCUUGCUUAGAGAUGAUGCAUGCAGUUUUUGGUUUCUUUGAUUGGCUUCUUCAUUUCUAAAUACUACAAAGAUGAUGUUUAAAGGUUAACUGAAACAAAUAGGAAAUACAUUCCUUCAGAUAUCUAUCUGAAUUUGCAUCUCAAAUGAACAUUCA